UUGAUUUAAAUCAUUGUAAGUUUACAUUUUAAAAAUUGAAUACAUACAAAAUGGUGAGACAUACAUUGAUUUCAUUCAA
Molecule: microRNA precursor, 79 nt
Filed under: Medicago truncatula (barrel medic)
Lineage: Eukaryota; Viridiplantae; Streptophyta; Magnoliopsida; Fabales; Fabaceae
Description: MIR5269 microRNA precursor family
Rfam family: MIR5269 microRNA precursor family
Source: Rfam by way of RNAcentral